This is a long non-coding RNA of Aethalodelphis obliquidens (Pacific white-sided dolphin), 2722 nucleotides long. RefSeq lists it as uncharacterized. The transcript is spliced from 3 exons. NCBI's taxonomy places the organism in Eukaryota, Metazoa, Chordata, Mammalia, Artiodactyla, Delphinidae. The record is from RefSeq and is a predicted model, not a curated record.
AAUCAUUAAGUCUAAACCUUUGUUUUUUAAAAAUAGGAUCCCAAGUGUUGUUUAUAGGCCUCUGACCCUAAAGGGAGAGAAGCUGAGGCUGGACAGUUGCUUUUAUAUGAAAAAAGGAGUGCAAACAGGGCUUUUAUUAGUAGGAUUUUCUACAUGAUAUUCUAGUAGUUCAUUGUUGUUCUGUCUUUAGCCAGUGACAUUAUAAAGCAGUCGCCAAGCUAAUGUUAUGCUUCCUGGGGUCAUUCAUAUAGAAUUACAUGGGCUGAGGUCAGAGGCCCGUGGUUCCUCCUCCUUCCUGACUCAGGUCAGGCUGAAUAGUAUCCAAGUGCCAUUUAACUCUUGCUCCUUCUCUUCAGAAAUCACUUGUUACUGGGUUGCUACCAAUCAACUCUAUUGUGGAGGCAUGUUUUAAUAUUUCAUUUCCUUCUGUUUAUUAGAAAAGAUUGGGGGAAAGCUACAUGCAAAGAUCUGAGUGUGAUCGUGGGAGCAGACCUGCAGUUAAAAAACGUGAAGGAGGCAAAGAUUGAUUUCAGGUUUUCAUGUCUUUGAGGGCCCCUCCUCGCCUGGGGCCCAGUCAGGGCUCCUGGGUUCCUCUUGGCUGAUAAACUCAUUUACACCGGGUUGUCCACACAUAAUGAGUUACACAGGCCGGGGAGGGAGCAACCCUUCACCCAGAGGGCGAUAUCUCCACCUCUGGAGUUUUCAGAUGUCAGUGAUAGGUGAAGAUGAGCUUUUUUGGCGGAGAGGAAGCUUUCAAACCAGGUACUGUCCUGUGACCAGGCUAUUACUGAGACUAUGUCAAGGGCUAGGGUCUUCACAUAAACCUUCAGCAGUGGGUCAGGACCCAGCUCACCUAUGCUGAGUGGACGUAUCUCGAGAUUACCUCACACUGAAAUGCUUGUCUCCCUCGUCUGUGAGGGAUUAGUGCUUUUCCGCUUUAAAGGAAAAACAGGCCAUCAAUUACUGAGGAAUUUUAUGGCACUGUCCAAAGCACAGUCUGGAAGCCAAGGAAAAAUAAAACUCCAGCUUCUUUAUGGAAAGUCAAAUGUAAAAGAGAGAUUGCUUCCUGAAAAGAGGGAGGCGCUGCCUAAGGGGAGCGGAGGGAUAAGAGACUUGAAUUUAGUCUGUAGAAACUCGUCUUCUGGUGCCCCUGAGGAUUUUAGGAGAACUCCGGGCCUCAAACUGAUGAACUUGAAGGCAAAGGGAAGCAGGGGGUUGAACUGUUUGGAAAGUAGGUGAGAAAAGUGAUUAUUUUUGGUAGCAAGAUCUUUGUGUUUGGAUUAUGCCUGCUGUGGAUCCAGUAUCUUAAUUUACAUUCGCCUCAGCAAGGGGAAGAAUUCCCUAGGUCAUUCGUACACCUGAUUCCAAUUCGAGGCUUGUUAAAUGUUGGAGAAGGAAAGGAAGGGAUGGUGUGGAAGUUUCUGAGGCUGGCUGACCAGGGAGAAAGCAGACAGAUCCUGGGGGCUGGACUUCAUCAUAAAUUACAGACAGACAGAACACUCUAGAACAUUGUAUGUUGCAAAGCAAAGUAGGACCAGCACAAGAAAGCGCUUUGUACACAUACGUGAAGCAGUCUCCUUUCUAGAAAAUGUUUCCUCAAACUAGGAAGAUCAGCAAGCCUUGUAUCAUCUUAACCUAAGCCUUCAACUCUUUUCAGCUGUCCUUUUCUGACAGUGGAUACACAUGAUGCUGUAAGUCUUUGCGUUCAUGCCUUUAUCCCAUCUCAGGAGCAGUGGGGGGAUUGUGACCGUAUGGGGGGAGUAGUCAUUUCACUGUCAUUUCUUGUUUCAGAAUUGGAGUGAAUCUGAAUGAAUCAUAACAGUUGCAUUUAAUAAAUUCUCCUGGGUAUUAGCUACUUUUAAACCGGUCAGACGAGUUUUAAGGUCCAUGUGGUUUGGGGAAAUUCAGCGGUGCAUUUCCUCGUUUGGUCACCCCUUAUUUCCCUCCAACUUUGUUCCUUUUCAGCAAGCUGGUCUACUUGGCACAGUUAUCUUUGAUCAUCUGAGUCACCGCCUCCACUCCAGGCUCUGACACGAGCAGCUUUAGCCUCUCUACGUUGACUUUCUGCCUCGGCUCUACAAUCAUGGUGGUUAAUGGAUGCCAGAUGUUGAAUUCGCGGAUAUGGAGGCUCCAACUGUAUCUGUUCCCGGCUUCUUCCUUGCGUCCCAUUCGCUUUGUGGUCAAAAGAUCAGGAAGGUGCUGAACCACGACAAGGAGAAAAGGGCCCAUGUGACACUGGCCACUGCUUCUUAGAUUUCUCUGAAGGGAGGAGCUAAAUUUCCGUCUGUGAUGGAAAAAUUGGGAAAGAGCAAUAAGGAAAAAAUACAUGUAAUAAAAAAUGAAAAUAAACAAUAAAGGCAGCAAAUAUCUGUUGAAAACUUUCUCUGUACCAGAGACUGAAUCAGAUACUACAUUGUUUAAAUAGCUUCUUAUAGUCACCAUGGAUUACAAUAAAUUCUUUUGAAAAAAGAUGAGAUUUACCCAUCUGCAUGAGCGCUCUCAUUUGAAUUCUGUGAUUUUUCUUUAUUUCUACCUAGUCACUAGGCAUAAAUUUCCUGAAAACAGAAGAGACUCAACUACUGUUAUUCAAAUAACGACCAUUUUGCCAGGAGGGAAUGUCAGGGAGUUAAUUAAAGCUAACAAAACCAUUGCCAGGUUUCCUAGGGUAAGGAAAAGUUUUCUUUUCCCCCCUGUUCUUUUUUUUUUUUUUUUUUUUGGUACG